CCUACGGGAGGCAGCAGUGGGGAAUAUUGGACAAUGGGGGGAACCCUGAUCCAGCCAUGCCGCGUGUGUGAAGAAGGCCCUCGGGUUGUAAAGCACUUUCAGUGAGGAAGAACGCCUGGUGGUUAAUACCCAUCAGGAAAGACAUCACUCACAGAAGAAGCACCGGCUAACUCCGUGCCAGCAGCCGCGGUAAUACGGAGGGUGCGAGCGUUAAUCGGAAUUACUGGGCGUAAAGCGCGCGUAGGUGGCUUGAUAAGCCGGUUGUGAAAGCCCCGGGCUCAACCUGGGAACGGCAUCCGGAACUGUCAAGCUAGAGUGCAGGAGAGGAAGGUAGAAUUCCCGGUGUAGCGGUGAAAUGCGUAGAGAUCGGGAGGAAUACCAGUGGCGAAGGCGGCCUUCUGGACUGACACUGACACUGAGGUCCGAAAGCGUGGGUAGCAAACAGGAUUAGAUACCCCAGUAGUC
RNAcentral lists this ribosomal RNA (465 nucleotides) under Vreelandella stevensii. RNAcentral's name for it is "partial 16S ribosomal RNA". It matches the Rfam family "Bacterial small subunit ribosomal RNA", at positions 338 to 795 of the family's 1533-position model. Lineage: Bacteria; Pseudomonadati; Pseudomonadota; Gammaproteobacteria; Oceanospirillales; Halomonadaceae. The record is from RNAcentral.